GACGUACUCUCUCCGUUCGAAAAAGCUUGUCCCAAGUUUGUCCCUCAAAUGGAUAUAUCUAACACCAAAGUUAGUGAUAGAUACAUCUAUUUAAGGGACAAGUUUUUUUGAACGGAGGGAGUAGUUA
Molecule: non-coding RNA, 127 nt
Organism: Triticum aestivum (bread wheat)
Lineage: Eukaryota; Viridiplantae; Streptophyta; Magnoliopsida; Poales; Poaceae
Source: Rfam